CCUCAAAUCAGGUAGGACUACCCGCUGAACUUAAGCAUAUCAAUAAGCGGAGGAAAAGAAACUAACAAGGAUUCCCCUAGUAACUGCGAGUGAAGCGGGAAAAGCUCAAAUUUAAAAUCUGGCAGUCUCUGAUUGUCCGAAUUGUAAUCUAGAGAAGUGUUAUCCGCGUUGGACCGUGUACAAGUCUCCUGGAAUGGAGCGUCAUAGAGGGUGAGAAUCCCGUCUUUGACACGGACUACCAGUGCUUUGUGAUGCGCUCUCAAAGAGUCGAGUUGUUUGGGAAUGCAGCUCAAAAUGGGUGGUAAAUUCCAUCUAAAGCUAAAUAUUGGCGAGAGACCGAUAGCGAACAAGUACCGUGAGGGAAAGAUGAAAAGAACUUUGGAAAGAGAGUUAAACAGUACGUGAAAUUGCUGAAAGGGAAACGCUUGAAGUCAGUCGCGUUGUCCGGGGAUCAACCUUGCUUUUGCUGGGUGUACUUUCCGGUUGACGGGUCAGCAUCAAUUUUGACCGUUGGAUAAAGUGUAAGGGAAUGUGGCAUCUUCGGAUGUGUUAUAGCCUUUGCUCGCAUACAACGGUUGGGAUUGAGGAACUCAGUACGCCGCAAGGCCGGGAAUUUAUUCUACGUUCGUACUUAGGAUGCUGGCAUAAU
RNAcentral lists this ribosomal RNA (649 nucleotides) under uncultured Basidiomycota. Its description in RNAcentral is "LSU rRNA". It matches the Rfam family "Eukaryotic large subunit ribosomal RNA", at positions 1 to 635 of the family's 3401-position model. The record is from RNAcentral. Lineage: Eukaryota; Fungi; Basidiomycota.